AGUGAACGCUGGCGGUAGGCCUAACACAUGCAAGUCGAACGGCAGCACAGUAAGAGCUUGCUCUUACGGGUGGCGAGUGGCGGACGGGUGAGGAAUACAUCGGAAUCUACUUUUUCGUGGGGGAUAACGUAGGGAAACUUACGCUAAUACCGCAUACGACCUACGGGUGAAAGCAGGGGAUCUUCGGACCUUGCGCGAUUGAAUGAGCCGAUGCCGGAUUAGCUAGUUGGCGGGGUAAAGGCCCACCAAGGCGACGAUCCGUAGCUGGUCUGAGAGGAUGGUCAGCCACACUGGAACUGAGACACGGUCCAGACUCCUACGGGAGGCAGCAGUGGGGAAUAUUGGACAAUGGGCGCAAGCCUGAUCCAGCCAUACCGCGUGGGUGAAGAAGGCCUUCGGGUUGUAAAGCCCUUUUGUUGGGAAAGAAAAGCAGCAGGUUAAUACCCCGCUGUUCUGACGGUACCCAAAGAAUAAGCACCGGCUAACUUCGUG
RNAcentral lists this ribosomal RNA (492 nucleotides) under uncultured bacterium. Its description in RNAcentral is "partial 16S ribosomal RNA". It matches the Rfam family "Bacterial small subunit ribosomal RNA", at positions 29 to 507 of the family's 1533-position model. The record is from RNAcentral.